UCCAGACUCCUACGGGAGGCAGCAGUGGGGAAUAUUGCACAAUGGGGGAAACCCUGAUGCAGCGACGCCGCGUGAGCGAUGAAGUAUUUCGGUAUGUAAAGCUCUAUCAGCAGGGAAGAAGAUGACGGUACCUGACUAAGAAGCCCCGGCUAACUACGUGCCAGCAGCCGCGGUAAUACGUAGGGGGCAAGCGUUAUCCGGAUUUACUGGGUGUAAAGGGGGCGCAGACGGCAAUGCAAGCCAGGAGUGAAAGCCCGGGGCCCAACCCCGGGACUGCUCUGGAAACUGCGUCGCUGGAGUACGGGAGGGGCAGGCGGAAUUACUGGUGUGGCGGUGAAAUGCGUAGAUAUCAGGAGGAACACCGGCGGCGAAGGCGGCCUGCUGGACCGUGACUGACGUUGAGGCUCGAGAGCGUGGGGAGCAAACAGGAUUAGAUACCCUUA
RNAcentral lists this ribosomal RNA (443 nucleotides) under uncultured bacterium. RNAcentral describes it as "bacterial SSU rRNA". It matches the Rfam family "Bacterial small subunit ribosomal RNA", at positions 330 to 790 of the family's 1533-position model. The record is from RNAcentral.